Molecule: ribosomal RNA, 407 nt
Filed under: uncultured bacterium
Lineage: Bacteria
Description: partial 16S ribosomal RNA
Rfam family: Bacterial small subunit ribosomal RNA
Source: RNAcentral
GACGAACGCUGGCGGCGUGCUUAACACAUGCAAGUCGAGCGGAGCGGCGAACGGGUGAGUAACGCGUGAGUAACCUGCCUUUGACAUUGGGAUAGCCUCGGGAAACUGGGAUUAAUACCAAAUGGUCAAAGAUGGACUCGCGGCUGAUUAGCUAGUUGGUGAGGUAACGGCCCACCAAGGCGACGAUCAGUAGCCGGCCUGAGAGGGUGAUCGGCCACAUCGGAACUGAGACACGGUCCAAACUCUACGGGAGGCAGCAGUGGGGAAUAUUGCAAAAUGGGGGAAACCCUGAUGCAGCGACGCCGCGUGAGCGAAGAAGGCCUUCGGGUCGUAAAGCUCUUUUAUGAGGGAAGCGGUACCUCAAGAAAAAGCCCCGGCUAACUACGUGCCAGCAGCCGCGGUAAUAC